Molecule: ribosomal RNA, 332 nt
Filed under: uncultured Spirochaetota bacterium
Lineage: Bacteria; Pseudomonadati; Spirochaetota
Description: bacterial SSU rRNA
Rfam family: Bacterial small subunit ribosomal RNA
Source: RNAcentral
AACUAACGCUGGCGGCGCGUCUUAAGCAUGCAAGUCGGACGGGAGUCUUGGGGGGUAACUCCUGAGGCGAGAGUGGCGAACGGGUGAGUAACACGUAGGUGAUCUGCCCUUGGGUGGGGAAUAGCCCAUGGAAACAUGGGGUAAUACCGCAUGAGGUCUUGGCCUUUUGGGGCUUUGAUGAAAGGAGCAAUUGCUCCGCCUGGGGAUGAGCCUGCGGUCCAUUAGCUAGUUGGUGAGGUAAGGGCCCACCAAGGCGACGAUGGAUAGCCGGCCUGAGAGGGUGAACGGCCACACUGGAACUGAGACACGGUCCAGACUCCUACGGGAGGCAG